AGCCCCCUCGUUGGUGUCUCCACCUUAUCGUGGUGAGCGGGUUUGAGUAUGCCAAGGACUCUGAGAGCUGAGAGCUAUACCACCGGUAGCGUGGCCAGGGCCUCUCUUGCUGGACUGUUCAAAGGGUAGGCAUCAGACGAAGAGAGAGACCAAAAACUGAUGCCGGAAGCAGCGACUGGAAGCAUCAAGGAACAUCAUGGGUACAAGAUUGGAACAUGGAAUGCAUCAGGGUGCAACAGAGCAAUGCAUUCAGCUGUAUUUCACAGUGCUGCAAUAUCUGGGAAGGGCCCCUGAUGUAUCGACUCCUGUGGUAAAAUAGAUCCAAUGAAGAUCCGUUAUUGUAGCGUAAAAUACUUAAACAAAUUUCUUCUUAGAAUUGUUCACCUUAUUCAACUUAAGCGGUUAUGAUUGGUAAUGAAAGACAAACUCAUUUAAAGCCCUCACAGAAUAAUGGCCAUAUUAUUCCAUUGGAUAUUUUAAUGUUAUAUAUUUAACCUUUGUACAAGAACUUGAGAGGCACCAUCUGAGCAUGUUUUUGAAGAAUAGUUGUAAAUUGUAUGACCAAUGAAAUGAGAACUGAUGUUUAAAAAUAAUUAAGCACCUGAGAGUCGUGAGUACAGAACUUGCUGUCUUGAUGUAACGUAGGAGAAUGAACAUUGUAGAGGGUUCCAGGUUUCUUCGCUGACCAGAUCUUAAUGUACACCUACCUCAUUGUUUACAGUUAAAAUAUGUCAUCCUUUCUAAAGUUAAUAUUUUGUGACUGUGAUGAGUAAUAGCUCUUGCCACUGUCUGGAGCUGAUGUUAAGUUCCCUUCAGUCUGAGAAUGUUUACAAAAGUGAUCCAGUCUUGUGAAUACCAAUCUCCAGACCUGAAGGAUCUCGUAAAAUCCACUGCACACUAUUGAGAAUGGUCAGUUAUAGAAACUCAUAAUGAUGCUGUGUUACUGUGAUACAAUGUAAUGUGAUUUGUGCUAUUGCAUGUCAUACACUGAUGUGGACUUCAAAACCUAUAGAAGUGCUAAAAUUUAGUUUCAUGGCAGGCUGAGGUAAGCAUUUGUAUUACAGCACUGCUUCAUUAAAUGAAGAUAAAACAGAGUAAAUAUUUAAACUUAUAAUGUGUCUCUGUAAUAAAAUAAUAUAUUAGAAAUGUUCAUAUGAAGAUUCAA
Long non-coding RNA from Cryptotermes secundus, 1165 nucleotides. RefSeq lists it as uncharacterized. The record is from RefSeq and is a predicted model, not a curated record. The transcript is spliced from 2 exons. NCBI's taxonomy places the organism in Eukaryota, Metazoa, Arthropoda, Insecta, Blattodea, Kalotermitidae.